RNAcentral lists this ribosomal RNA (200 nucleotides) under uncultured bacterium. RNAcentral's name for it is "partial 16S ribosomal RNA". It matches the Rfam family "Bacterial small subunit ribosomal RNA", at positions 524 to 723 of the family's 1533-position model. The record is from RNAcentral.
UACGGAGGGGGUUAGCGUUGUUCGGAAUUACUGGGCGUAAAGAGUACGUAGGCUGUUUGUCAAGUUGGGUGUGAAAGCCCGGGGCUCAACCCCGGAACUGCACUCAAAACUGGCAAGCUAGAGUUCGGAAGAGGUAAGUGGAAUUCCCAGUGUAGAGGUGAAAUUCGUAGAUAUUGGGAAGAACACCAGUGGCGAAGGCG